AUGAGACCACAUCCCAAGGUGGAUGGUCUUUUUACGUGUCAUGGAGCGUUUGCCGCCAUGCGAAUUGCGUGUCGUGUUAGUUUUUAUUUUUUAUUUUUUAUUUUGUAUUACGAGGGUAGGGGAUAUUCGAAUUUGGAACCUCUUCCAACAUUGAGAAGAGAAACACGAACAAACCAAGUGCUACUACUCGGUGCAUGUCGUGCUAGGUUGCUUGGUGAUCUGAAAUUUAUGACUAAAUGCCAUUUUAUUAGUCUUAGGUGA
RNAcentral lists this long non-coding RNA (261 nucleotides) under Prunus dulcis (almond). RNAcentral describes it as "sRNA ncRNA". The record is from RNAcentral. Lineage: Eukaryota; Viridiplantae; Streptophyta; Magnoliopsida; Rosales; Rosaceae.